RNAcentral lists this long non-coding RNA (1624 nucleotides) under Androctonus crassicauda. The record is from RNAcentral. Lineage: Eukaryota; Metazoa; Arthropoda; Arachnida; Scorpiones; Buthidae.
AUCAUCUUCAGAUAGCGAAUCAUCGGAUGAAGAUUAGAAGAUAUGUUCACAGAUCAAAUACAGGCUCUUCAUCACUAAAAACAUAAGCACGACAGCUACAAUGCACACUACAUCAACUCUCAAACAAAACCAAUGUUCUGCAUGCUUAACAGAUAUAAAAACAGAUAUAAGCACAGGCACUUGAUAGUGAUUUUUUCUGAAAAUCAACAUCAAGUGCCUGUGUUUCUUUUAUAUCUGUUAAGCACGCCGCAUCAACAUCUACAGCCUUUACGCACUGAUAGUCUUCGGACUAUUUUGGCUUCCAUUGGACAUCAUAAAACACAAGACACAGCAGGUCUAGCUCAAUGUCCGACGGUCUACAGCAUCAGAUCCUAAAGCCCAUCUGAUGUUGACAUUGUAACUGCUAUCUGUUCCACUCCAUUCUUCCGUCUCUUCUACCAUAUAGUUCUUAGUUUGAAACGUUUAAUUCUAUAUUAAAUCUUGCGUAGUAUAUAAGUAUAGUUAAAGGAAGAGCGCCACUCUUCCCUGCGCUGCAGCGUCUGCUUGUAAAGGGUAUAGCCACGCGCGCAAAUAGCGUGCCCACUGUUUGUAACUUGGGGUUCUUCCUUAGUUUUUGUUAGUUAUUUCUAUCAAGAUAGCCCUUCUUCACUGUUUGCUAGGCUUGCCUAGUAAUCUGUUUACUCUUGCUUUCCUUUGGGGACGAUCCUAUUCAUGGCGGGAACAAAGUAGCAGUACCGCUAGGGAUGUAUGAUGCUAUCGCUAUCUAUCGUAGCCCUACGCUUGGCUGGAGAGAAAUCUCCUUUUUAGGGGGACUAUCUCUAGCACCACCUUGUCUUCCGCAGGCCGUAAGUGCUGUAGCUUCCUUCGGUGGCACAUGUACGUGAUCGUUUGUCCUGUGCGUCAUUCGGGGGUUGUGCAUGUACGAACGGAUUUGCGAUCCUAUCAAGUUCCUUUAGAACUUGCCUAUGCCUUGUCUUUUCUCUUCCAUCCAAGUUCUCAUCCGUUCCCCUCAGUGUGGACAGUUGUUGACCUCUUAACUGAGGAUUGUUUUAGUCGGCUCCGCCUAACGAGUUGUUAUACGUCUUUUUUCUAAUCGGGAUUGUCUUUCCUUCUCGGUUAGUUCUUCUGGUCUGGCUUCUGCCAAAAUUCCCUGUCCUUUCGCCUCUCCCUAUGAUUAAAGUAAUGCCACAGAGAGAACAGCCUUGGCUGUUAACUCAAAAAAUUUAUGAGGGAGCUUUUUUUCUGAGUUCAUCUCUUUUCCGCCUCCAGCCUUAGCUCGUGAGGCAGAUGGCUUGCCAGUGUUGCUUCUCUCCAAAUCAGAGGAGUUGUCUGCAUGGGGUGCUGAGUGCUAGAUUUAACUAAGUUUUCUAUUUUUAUUUGGUCCUAGAUUUAAAUAGUAUAUAAGUUACCUAUUUUUAGGGAUCUUUAGUAUUCAGGUCAGAUAGUAUUUGCAUAAUUAUAUUUAGUGUUAAUUACUUUAGUUAAUUCGUUAUUAUUGUAAUUCUAAUUCACUAAAUAUUCAUGUUAAUACACAAAUAAAUGGCAAAUAUAAUGAUAUAAAAGAAAUAAAAAUACAGUGGUACCUCGACUUACGAGUUUAAUUCGUUCCGUGAUGAGAUCGUAA